UACGGAAGGGGCAAGCGUUGUUCGGAAUCAUUGGGCGUAAAGGGUGCGUAGGUGGCGCGCUAAGUCAGGUGUGAAAUCUCGGGCUUAACUCCGAAACUGCAUUUGAUACUGGCGUGCUUUGGAGGACUGGAGAGGAGACUGGAAUUCAUGGUGUAGCAGUGAAAUGCGUAGAGAUCAUGAGGAAGACCAGUGGCGAAGGCGGGUCUCUGGA
RNAcentral lists this ribosomal RNA (211 nucleotides) under uncultured bacterium. Its description in RNAcentral is "partial 16S ribosomal RNA". It matches the Rfam family "Bacterial small subunit ribosomal RNA", at positions 524 to 733 of the family's 1533-position model. The record is from RNAcentral.